GUGUCUGAGGUUGAAGUAGUCGAAACGUCGGUUUGUGACGCCGAAGAAAGCGAGUGCAAGUCUCGUCAGACGCC
This 74-nucleotide transfer RNA is filed under the name Okeania sp. SIO2F4. RNAcentral's name for it is "tRNA-His". It matches the Rfam family "tRNA". Rfam says of the family: Transfer RNA (tRNA) molecules are approximately 80 nucleotides in length. Their secondary structure includes four short double-helical elements and three loops (D, anti-codon, and T loops). Further hydrogen bonds mediate the characteristic L-shaped molecular structure. tRNAs have two regions of fundamental functional importance: the anti-codon, which is responsible for specific mRNA codon recognition, and the 3' end, to which the tRNAs corresponding amino acid is attached (by aminoacyl-tRNA synthetases). tRNAs cope with the degeneracy of the genetic code in two manners: having more than one tRNA (with a specific anti-codon) for a particular amino acid; and 'wobble' base-pairing, i.e. permitting non-standard base-pairing at the 3rd anti-codon position. Lineage: Bacteria; Bacillati; Cyanobacteriota; Cyanophyceae; Oscillatoriales; Microcoleaceae. The record is from RNAcentral.